AAUAGAUACCCAGGUAGUCCACGCCGUAAACGAUGAGUGCUAGGUGUUAGGGGUUUCGAUACCCUUAGUGCCGACGCUAACGCAAUAAGCACUCCGCCUGGGGAGUACGGCCGCAAGGCUGAAACUCAAAGGAAUUGACGGGGACCCGCACAAGCAGUGGAGCAUGUGGUUUAAUUCGAAGCAACGCGAAGAACCUUACCAGGACUUGACAUCCCUCUGAAUCCUCUAGAGAUAGAGGCGACCUUCGGGACAGAGGUGACAGGUGGUGCAUGGUUGUCGUCAGCUCGUGUCGUGAGAUGUUGGGUUAAGUCCCGCAACGAGCGCAACCCUUAAUCUUAGUUGCCAGCAUUCAGUUGGGCACUCUAAGGUGACUGCCGGUGACAAACCGGAGGAAGGUGGGGAUGACGUCAAAUCAUCAUGCCCCUUAUGUCCUGGGCUACACACGUGCUACAAUGGGCAGUACAAAGGGUAGCGAAGCCGCGAGGUGGAGCCAAUCCCAUAAAGCUGCUCUCAGUUCGGAUUGC
RNAcentral lists this ribosomal RNA (524 nucleotides) under uncultured bacterium. Its description in RNAcentral is "bacterial SSU rRNA". It matches the Rfam family "Bacterial small subunit ribosomal RNA", at positions 777 to 1301 of the family's 1533-position model. The record is from RNAcentral.